This is a long non-coding RNA of Phoenix dactylifera (date palm), 7069 nucleotides long. RefSeq lists it as uncharacterized. NCBI's taxonomy places the organism in Eukaryota, Viridiplantae, Streptophyta, Magnoliopsida, Arecales, Arecaceae. The record is from RefSeq and is a predicted model, not a curated record.
GAGACUGCGAUUGAGCGGAGCUGCGAGACGAGGAGAUAGAGCUGAAGCGCAAAGUAAUGGCCGAUGGCUGUUUGGGUCCCGUGGCGGUGCGAAGCCCUCUCCUCCGCUUCUUGUCGCCCCCAAUCCCUUUCCCUUCGUCACCUCCUCCUCUGUCUCUAUCCUCCCCAGGGCGGCGGGGCAUUGUAACGGUGCUUCCUCUCCACGUGUGGUCUCUUCUUUCUCUCCGAGCCCUAACCCUGAUCUCUUCAAUUCCUGCAUCAAGAUCCAACACAGCAAUUCCAAAGAAUAUGUCUUCCGAUGAUUUCAUGAUCGUUUACAGCCUUCUUGAUACCACCUGUUUUUUAUAGUUAGAUGUGUUCUUGGUCCAAUCAUGUUUUUGUUUUAAUUCUUGGAUAGCUUCCAACAUAGAAAUCCAAAAGAGCGAGUCUUGCGGUGGUUUUUUUGAUUUUAGAAAGAAAAAGGUAAAGUACAAGAAGGUGUUAAGGAUAUCCGUGAAGGUAGAUAGAAUGACAACGUCGAUGCUUUCUUGAUUGUUAACGUCACUCUUUCCAAAAGGAAAAGGUAAAUUGCAAGAAGGAUCUAAACAGAGAGAUCUUGAUCGCUAAUAGGCAUAUCGUCCACGAACACAGAAAAAGUACCCGAAGGUUUCAAGGAGACUCCAUAAAAAGAGAUAGUUUCGGCUCUCGCAAUGCUUUCUUGAUUGCCAAUAGCAUUCUUGUCUAAAAAAACGAAAAAAGAAAUUUCACGAAUGUUAGAAGGAGUUCCACCAAGAGCAGCAGCUGUUCAUAAAGGAGUCCUCAUGUACAGCUUAGGUACAAAUUGACAGCUCAAUCUUUUAUUAUGUGGCAUUUAAUCAGAUGUUGUUGAAAGAAUGAUUGAUUCUGUCAUCAGUAGGGAAAUGAAGAGAUGAAUGGAGGCCACGAAAUUGUGGACAGAUUAAGGCCUUACCUGCUAAUUUGGAGGGAAAACAAGAUUAACCAAUCAUUAACUCCCAGAAAACCACUAUGAGUUUUUCAUGGUCAAGAUGUAGUAGGUGCGAAGGGCUGCUAGAAUAAGGGAAGAAGGAAGCUGUUUUAUGACAGGUUCCCGGAGGAUGAAUUCUUUUAACAGAUAGACACUGCCGUGAACCCUAUGUGCUUACCUGUGUUCGAUCAAGAAGCUUUGCUUCCAUAGUAAGCAAAAUAGAUUGUACGCCUACCCAAAAGUCUCAAGGAAUUUAUGCAUAUAUGUUGAUAAUUUGUUUAUUCUUUUGAUGAUUUGUCGUUAUGUUCAUAUGCUUGUGACACUUCCAUGAUGUUUUUAACUUUUUUUUUUUUUAAAGUUUGCAUUCUGUAUAGAUUAGCUUAUAAGCAGAUGGGCACUAGACACUCAGUAUUCAUUUCUUCCCCUGAUAUGCCUACUAUCCUGUUCUGCCAUGUAAUGCCCAAGCUAUCUCCUAAUGUAGUCCAAACUCUACCCUUCAGGGUUCCCUAGUAGUCACCUAUUUAGUAGCUGGCCUACGCAUAGGAAGUUAGACCUUAAGGAAGGUGGCCAGGCGACUGCAACUUGCACAGUAAACGGACAUCUUCCGAAUUCAUCUGGCUUAGAUGUAGGUCUUCCCUGAUGCUAACCCUACAGUUUGGGAGCAGUUGAGUAUGGUAGAUUGCAUUGUCUAUGCUAUGGGCUCUCUUUUCACUUCCAUCUGUCUGUCAUUGGUAAUGCCAUGGUUCAUAAUUUAUCCUGUUUUCAGCGUUAGUGGAUCUUCUUAAUAUGCCAUCUUUCAAUAAUGUCAUGCGCUGUACAUUAUGAGGAAUUCUGGAUGGUUUUUAUGCUGUACUAGAAUUGGUGUCUAUGUUAUGCUAGAUCAUGUCCAUUUAUGAGCUUGCAGUGAUCUGAUCUGUUACAAACAUAUUUGGAUGAUCCAAUGUUGGUUUUAAUUAUGAAAUGUAUUUUGUGUCAGCUUUUCAAUUUCGAUGACCGACAUUGCUGUACUGCACAUUUCUUUAGGUUUCUCUACAACAUGCAAGUCCAUCUACCACCCUGCAUCAUAUUUUUUUGUUCAAUAUCACUUCCAUUUGACUCAUCUUUCUUGGUAUCUGUGUCAUGGGAAUCAGAUCUUCUAGAAUGAUAGUAAACAACAGGUCAAAAAUUGUAUCGACAUUGUUUUGUACGUGUAUGUUCAUAAUCCUAGAACAAAGGGUUCUGAUUGUAUCAGCUAGGUCAGCCAUUGAGUCUAUCGAAUAGGCUAACUACCUGGUGUUCUUACAUGAAUUUUGGAUUACUUUAGUGUAUCGAGGUAUCAAGUUAAAUAACCAGGUGAUGGAUGUUUUGGAAGAGACCCAUAUUAGUUAUCAGGUUUAUCAAACUAUACUUCAAAAAACAUUUGAAACUGAUCUGACCUCUGAAACUCUUUUGUAUUGAUUUAAUGCCAAAACUGACCAGUUUUAGACUAGUUUCAAGUGAAAACUAACCAUGAAUAACAGUGCCUGUUUUGAGCACUAAAUUCUAGGUGUUAAAUCUAUCCAAAGGAGAAUUUUCUUAGGAUCGAAUGUACGUUUGCUCACUUUGCUGCAAUAUCUUAAGUUUGCUCACUUUGUUGCAAUAUCUUGAGUUUGCUCACUUUGCUGUAAUAUCUUAAGUUACUGGAAGAGUUCUAUUCCAGAAAUACAGGAUGCACACCCUGCUGCCACCUGAUGCCCAUCCCACCUCAACACCCCGGAGCUUGAUUAGCAAAUAUAAUCUGAAACAUUACGCAACUAUUUACAAUUUUAUUAACAAAUGCUGUAGCUUAUAAUUUAUAAUUUGGUAUUUGGUACUUAAUAUAAUGCUAACCAACAUAUCAAAUUUAUAUUAAUAUUUAACUUUAUGUAUGAAUGUUUCUGUCUAAGAUCUAUGGUGUAACAUAUUAGGCAGUCAGAUUUUUAUUAAACAAUGGAACAUGUUAUACUCUAAGUUGGUGCAUAACAUGAUGCUUAACAUUUUCUUUGGUUUAUAAUGAGAUUUCUUUCCCUUUUUGCAAUUCUUGAUAGUUUGUUCUGAAAAUAUUGGGACCCGUACUUCCAGAAAUUUCAAAUGUUACAAAAUAAUCUAAAAUUAUGUGCUAUAUGAUUUUUUGGAUUUUUUUUUUAUAUUUUCUUUCUUUCCUCCCCUGCUUUUCCUGUGUCUAUCGUUUUUCUUGUCCAAUAAUCUGGGGCCUGGAUUGGAACUGCCAAAAACAAAACUUUAUGGGCUCGGCUGAAACCCAAGCUGACUCUGCAAACCUUAUUUCAAAAUGUGGGGCAAAUACCGAGAGGGGUGGGUUUUUUACAUUUCUAAGUGUGCAUUGCUUUUGCAGAAGGUUUAAAGAACACUAUUUUCACAUUAUUUGACCAAUGUAAAAUCACAAAGAAAGUCUUUAACUAACCUUUUAGGAUUCUAAAGCCUGCAAUUUGUUGUUGGUUUCAUUAACUCAACCACAUCAAACUCGAAGUCUGAGAUUUUAACUCUGGAUCAGUUUAUGCUACCUCAUUUGUGGCAGUUUGAUUUGAUAUUCAAACUUUGCAAAAAUAACUAUUAAUGCUAUUUCUUUGUUUUUUUUAUUUAACAGUUAUUUUUUUUAUCCAUGCAUUCAACUUAUUUCUUAUCAUCUAUUUUAUUUGUUUAUCAUCAUGAAAAUCAUGCCCGUCCUUUCCUAAGACUGGUGCUCAAGUGGUAUUCUGUACUUAUAAUCAUGAAAGUGUAAUUAAUGUAUUUCAGCAUCAGCUCUGAUAGAAUAGGCGUUUUCCAGCACUAUCUGUUUCUUUGCAUUAUCAUAUAUUCUUCUAGAUAUUGCUUGUAUUGUUCUGUUAAGUUCUUGUCUUCCAUAAGAUGCUUUUAUUUAGAGAAAGUUCUCUCUUUUCCUAAUAUUUAAGAUGCUCCCAGGUAUUGCCAGGCAUUGGUGAGUCUAUUGCUUUGAGAUUUAUACCCAAGUUGCUGAAUAUUUGCGUAUAACGAGCUCUUAAUUUUCAGAUGUUAGGAUAUUUUUUCCCAAAAAUCAUAUCAUCACUUGCUUGCAUUUCAAUUGAAAGUUUUUGGUACCACAGAUGUUUCCCAAUGCCUCUUUCACUAUUAUCUCCAUAAAAGGAUGUAUUAAGGAUGUAAAAGACUUGAGCUGAUAAACUUUCUAUGUGUGACCUAUUGAAACUUAGCAGAAAUCUUAGCAUUUUACAGGGCUAUUGCCAAAGCUAUGCCAUAUAAUUAUGAGCUGCUUGUAGUGGAAUAUUAUUGAAUCCCAAUUAAAAUGGUACCUCAUCAAGGUAUUGGCUGUUGACAUAAGACCGCCCUGAAAUGUUUUAGAAAUCUUGCAUGAAGAAGCAAAUGACCAUGUUGUUUGGGAUUCCCUAGACUAUCUGGUUAUGAUGAACGUUCUAAUAACUUACAAGUAGGGAAGAGGGGAAGCGGGAUUUGAGUGUUCAAUACAUAGUUUUGACUUGGAAAUGCCAUGAAUUGCUUAAUGACUUAUGGGCGUUUCAUCAUUGGACAUGUCAUGACUUCAGUUCUACUUGUGAAGAAGUUUCUCUCUGAAAGAUAUCACUGGAGGUAGGAGCGGAUUUUUUUAGUGCUUGAUAAUAAAAAGUAUCUUGGCUUAGGUCCCCUCCAUAAAUUCUCUAGCAUCUUUAUACUGAUAAAAAGUUAAAAGAAAGCAAUUAUAUGUGUAAUGUGCAAUGCAAAAACCAUCAGCACAAACUUUUUGAAGUUUGAACAGAUGAACUCUCAAGACCAAUAUAGAGACCAAAUUGUAUGUGCGGACCACUUUAUCAUCUAUCUGAUUUUUUUUUGAAAAUUAUCAAAGUUGGAUUCUAGUUACUUUCAUUGGGUUGGGAUUCAUCUAUCUUGAUGGUGAAUUCAAUUAAAAGGCCAACAGCUUAACUACCUAUCAUUCAAAAUAUUUCAAUGUUAUUACUGAUUGUUGUAUCCUGGAGAAAUCUUACCAGUUGUCAUGACACAGAGAAAACUGGACAGUUGUAUAUAAUUAUUGACCCCUUAUGCAUGUGUUGUAUUGUUAUGUUGAUUAGGCAUUAUUUUUUUCUUUUCUGCAUUCACUUGAAAUAAACUAUGUUAUUCAUAUAGCACAGGCAUGCAUUGCUUGGCAAGAAUUGUCACAUGUGAAAGGUUAUUUUGUUUCCCAUGCUUAUGGUUUCAUGGAGCCAAUCAGAACAGUAUAGAGUCAGUGUGAUAUUUAAUAUGGACACACCUGGACUUGCAUAAUAACUUCCCCCACAGGAAUUACAACAUUUGCACUUUGUCAUCUUAUCCUUCUCAAUAAAUAGUACUUUGAGUAAAGGUUUAAGUAGCACAUUUAAUUUUCUUCCAUGUUAGAUUACGUUGCUUUGCUUUUUAUUUAUUGAAUAGUGGUGAACAAGAUUGACCGAUUUAUCAUCUCUUACAAUAUACACUCUAGGUUUUAUGUUACUUCUGCUGUAUAUAGGUACUUCUCUUAAAUGGUUGAUGUUAUAGAGAAACUACUGCUUUAUCUUCUUCUGGCUUUGUAACUGCAGUAACAGAUGCUCUAAAUCGAACUUAUGGGGACCCUGUUAAUAGUCUAAAGGAACUCAUGCAGUAGAUAGGAAAAUAUACGCCAUAUCAUGCUGAUUAUGAAGCCAUUUUCGAAGCUAUGAAGAAAAUGAGAUCGGUGGCUGUGAACUGGAAGGGAACCAUUUGAUAACUAAUCAUGGAUUUAUCUUUACAUAUAAAUUAUAUUCUCCAUCAUGCAUUAUUGUUGGCUUGUGCAUCAUAGAUUCUUUUAGUGCAUGUUUGCCAUUUUAGUGUAUUUUUCUAAUUUUUAUAGUUGUGUGUUAUUUAUUCAAACGCCCGAACAAUGUUCAGACAUGUAUCAAUUUGUAGGAACUAUUAUGUGUCCUUUCACAGUGCUUUGUACUUAAAUUAUUUCAGUCGAUUUGUAAGCUUUUAUGAAUCGAUCUUACAGUGUUCUGUAGGCCAAUUUGACACGAGACAUCAUCUUGAAAAUUUUAGAUAAUUAUCCAAAUCUCAGUUUACCACUUCUGUGCAUGUUUUUGAGUUUUAUCCUGUUUCUGUAUUUCUUGACCCUGCUUUGGCAUUUUCUUGCCUUUAUUCUUCCAACUUUUACUUAUUGAUCUCAGCAUCUUCAUUAUGCUUUUUCGCCCUACCAAAAGGUUGUUUGUGGUUCUGCCCUGGUUGUUUGAAUUCAACUUUAUCCAAACUUGUAUAUUACAUGGAUUAUGUACUUGAAAAGGAGGAAAACAUAUUUUUUGGAAUAUUCUCAGUCAUAAAUUUCAAUUGACACGUCAACUCUCUUUAAGCUUAAAUUUUAUUAGCAUAAAUUUUAUAUCACCUAUGAAGUAUCUUGGUCCAUGUUCCUUGGGGUUAUAUUUCAUACGCUUAUCUAUGCUUGGUUAGCUUUCUUGACCAACAUGCCCAUCAGAAUAAAGUCGACUAAAGUGAUUCCUGAAACCGAGUGCCGCAAAGUAAUUUAAAAAUGGCAUAACAUCAUGUUUUAGGAAAUAUCUUCAUUAUAACUUUGAAUAUUGUUAGGUCAGUUUGAAACUUGUUUUGGAUCAAAUCAAUGGGCCACGGCUCGUGCUUGGAUCUGGGGCCACGGCUCGUGCUAUUGGUGAACGCGUCCAUGGGCGGGUCCACAAGGACGCAGCAGAGAGGGAGCGACGGUUCCAAAUCUUCCAGGACAGCUACGAGUACAUCGAAUCUGUCAAUAGAGCCGGCGAUAGCAGGUAGAAGCUCGGCCUCAACCAGUUUGCGGACAUGACCAACGAGGAGUUCGAGGUCUCUCGUCUGUGCGUUGGAAACCUGUUGGUCAACAACAAGGGGACCGUGAUGUUGAAAACGAUGGAUGCGACGGGGGAGAUUUGGCCAAGGCUUUCGAUUAAUCGUGGCAAUAGUGCUUUUUUAGGCAAGGCACGUAAGGGCGUCGAGACUUGCUCCUAUACCAGUAGUCGUACUGCUAUGUCUUGACAAAUCAAUCAAUGAUUUUAGUAAUUAUAUUCACUCUGUGCUUCAUUUGGUAAACAAUUUUCUGUUGUUCUUGCCAAUCACCAAAUAACUAAUACAAUCAUCUGGAAGAAAGAUUUCUGGAUCA